Molecule: transfer RNA, 58 nt
Filed under: Habropoda laboriosa
Lineage: Eukaryota; Metazoa; Arthropoda; Insecta; Hymenoptera; Apidae
Rfam family: tRNA
About the family: Transfer RNA (tRNA) molecules are approximately 80 nucleotides in length.
Source: Rfam by way of RNAcentral
UGGCUUAGUGCGCAAAGCGCCGGCUUGCUACUCCGAAGGUCCCGGGUUCGAUUCCCGG